Molecule: unclassified non-coding RNA, 343 nt
Filed under: soil metagenome
Description: partial contains 5.8S ribosomal RNA, internal transcribed spacer 2, and large subunit ribosomal RNA
Rfam family: 5.8S ribosomal RNA (bases 1-120)
Source: RNAcentral
GAUGAAGAACGCAGCGAAAUGCGAUAAGUAAUGUGAAUUGCAGAAUUCAGUGAAUCAUCGAAUCUUUGAACGCACAUUGCGCCCGCCAGCAUUCUGGCGGGCAUGCCUGUUCGAGCGUCAUUUCAACCCUCGAGCCCCCCCGGGGGCCUCGGUGUUGGGGGACGGCACACCAGCCGCCCCCGAAAUGCAGUGGCGACCCCGCCGCAGCCUCCCCUGCGUAGUAGCACACACCUCGCUCCGGAGCGCGGAGGCGGUCACGCCGUAAAACGCCCAACUUUCUUAGAGUUGACCUCGGAUCAGGUAGGAAUACCCGCUGAACUUAAGCAUAUCAAUAAGCGGAGGA